GUAGUUGACGUCCUGGCUCAGGACGACGCUGGCGGCGUGCUUAACACAUGCAAGUCGAACGCUGAAGCUCUGCCCGUUGUGGUGGGGUGGAGUGAGUGGCGAACGGGUGAGUAACACGUGGGUAAUCUGCCCCAUACUCUGGGAUAACCCCUGGAAACCGGGGGGCUAAUACCGGAUAGGACAGUUCUGCCGCAUGGUGGGGUGUGGAAAGUUCCGGCGGUAUGGGAUGGGCCCGCGGCCUAUCAGCUUGUUGGUCGGGGUAAUGGCCUACCAAGGCGACGACGGGUAGCCGGCCUGAGAGGGUGACCGGCCACACUGGGACUGAGACACGGCCCAGACUCCUACGGGAGGCAGCAGUGGGGAAUCUUGCGCAAUGGGCGAAAGCCUGACGCAGCAACGCCGCGUGGGGGAUGAAGGCCUUCGGGUUGUAAACCUCUUUUCACCAUCGACGAAGCCCUUUGGGGUGACGGUAGGUGGGGAAGAAGCACCGGCUAACUACGUG
This 502-nucleotide ribosomal RNA is filed under the name uncultured Actinomycetales bacterium. RNAcentral describes it as "bacterial SSU rRNA". It matches the Rfam family "Bacterial small subunit ribosomal RNA", at positions 1 to 507 of the family's 1533-position model. Lineage: Bacteria; Bacillati; Actinomycetota; Actinomycetes; Actinomycetales. The record is from RNAcentral.